Molecule: ribosomal RNA, 612 nt
Filed under: uncultured archaeon
Lineage: Archaea
Description: bacterial SSU rRNA
Rfam family: Archaeal small subunit ribosomal RNA
Source: RNAcentral
UGGGAUACCUAAAGUUCCCAUAGCAAACUGCUCAGUAACACAUGAUCAACUUACCCUAUAGAGAAAAACAACCUCGGGAAACUGAGGAUAAUGUUUCAUAAUUGAAUUGGCUUGGAAAAGUUUUUCAAUGAAAGGGAUAAAAAAAAUGGUUUUUAUCUGCUAUAGGAUAGGAUCGUGUUCGAUUAUGGUUGUUGGUGAGAUAAUGGCUCACCAAGCCGAUAAUCGAUAGGGGCCGUGAGAGCGGGAGCCCCGAGAUGGGUACUGAGACAACGACCCAGGCCUUACGAGGCGCAGCAGGCGCGGAACCUCCGCAAUACACGAAAGUGUGACGGGGUUACCCAAAGUGUUCAAUAGAACUGUGGUAGGUGAGUAAUGUCCCCUACUAGAAAGGAGAGGGCAAGGCUGGUGCCAGCCGCCGCGGUAAAACCAGCUCUUCAAGUGGUCGGGAUAAUUAUUGGGCUUAAAGUGUCCGUAGCCGGUUUAGUAAGUUCCUGGUAAAAUCGGGUAGCUUAACUAUCUGCAUGCUAGGAAUACUGCUAUACUAGAGGGCGGGAGAGGUCUGAGGUACUACAGGGGUAGGGGUGAAAUCUUAUAAUCCUUGUAGGACCACCA